This 684-nucleotide ribosomal RNA is filed under the name uncultured bacterium. Its description in RNAcentral is "bacterial SSU rRNA". It matches the Rfam family "Bacterial small subunit ribosomal RNA", at positions 91 to 789 of the family's 1533-position model. The record is from RNAcentral.
UACGGUGGCGGACGGGUGAGUAACGCGUAAAGAACUUGCCCUCUAGACUGGGACAACUGUUGGAAACGACAGCUAAUACCAGAUAUUAUGAGAACCUCGCAUGGGGGACUUAUGAAGGCUAUAUGCGCUAGAGGAGAGCUUUGCGUGCCAUUAGGUAGUUGGUAGGGUAAUGGCCUACCAAGCCGACGAUGGCUAGCCGGCCUGAGAGGGUGAACGGCCACAAGGGGACUGAGACACGGCCCUUACUCCUACGGGAGGCAGCAGUGGGGAAUAUUGGACAAUGGACCAAAAGUCUGAUCCAGCAAUUCUGUGUGCACGAUGAAGGUUUUCGGAUCGUAAAGUGCUUUCAGCAGGGAAGAAAAAAAUGACGGUACCUGCAGAAGAAGCGACGGCUAAAUACGUGCCAGCAGCCGCGGUAAUACGUAUGUCGCAAGCGUUAUCCGGAAUUAUUGGGCGUAAAGCGCGUCUAGGCGGCCUUUUAAGUCUGAUGUGAAAAUGCGGGGCUCAACUCCGUAUUGCGUUGGAAACUGGAAGGCUAGAGUAUCAGAGAGGUGGGCGGAACUACAAGUGUAGAGGUGAAAUUCGUAGAUAUUUGUAGGAAUGCCGAUUGGGAAGCCAGCUCACUGGAUGAAUACUGACGCUGAAGCGCGAAAGCGUGGGGAGCAAACAGGAUUAGAUACCCUG